UACGUAGGCAGCGAGCGUUGUUCGGAAUUACUGGGCGUAAAGAGUGUGUAGGCGGUGCUCUAAGUUCGGUGUGAAAUCUCCUGCUUAACUGGGAGGGUGCGCCGGAAACUGGGGUGCUCGAGCGUGGGAGAGGAAAGCGGAAUUCCUGGUGUAGCGGUGAAAUGCGUAGAUAUCAGGAGGAACACCAAUUGCGAAGGCAGCUCGCUGGGACGUUACUGACGCUGAGACGCGAAAGCGUGGGGAGCAAACAGG
This 252-nucleotide ribosomal RNA is filed under the name uncultured bacterium. RNAcentral describes it as "partial 16S ribosomal RNA". It matches the Rfam family "Bacterial small subunit ribosomal RNA", at positions 524 to 776 of the family's 1533-position model. The record is from RNAcentral.